RNAcentral lists this ribosomal RNA (459 nucleotides) under uncultured bacterium. RNAcentral's name for it is "partial 16S ribosomal RNA". It matches the Rfam family "Bacterial small subunit ribosomal RNA", at positions 338 to 795 of the family's 1533-position model. The record is from RNAcentral.
CCUACGGGAGGCAGCAGUGAGGAAUAUUGGUCAAUGGCCGAGAGGCUGAACCAGCCAAGUCGCGUGAGGGAAGAAUGUCCUAAGGGUUGUAAACCUCUUUUGUCGGGGAGCAAAAAGGCUCUCCGGAGUCGUAUUUAGAGUACCCGAAGAAAAAGCAUCGGCUAAAUCCGUGCCAGCAGCGGCGGUAAUACGGAGGAUGCGAGCGUUAUCCGGAGUUAUUGGGUUUAUGGGGUGCGCAGGCGGCGUGUCAUGCAAGCGGUAAAAUAGCGGGGCGCAACCCCGUGGAGCCGUUUGAACUGGCGCGCUUGAGUUCAGGCGAGGUAGGCGGAAUUCGUGGUGUAGCGGUGAAAUGCAUAGAUAUCACGAAGAACUCCGAUUGCGAAGGCAGGUGACCAGUCUGCGACUGACGCUCAGGCACGAAAGUGUGGGUAUCGAACAGGAUUAGAUACCCGAGUAGUC